This 822-nucleotide ribosomal RNA is filed under the name uncultured bacterium. RNAcentral's name for it is "bacterial SSU rRNA". It matches the Rfam family "Bacterial small subunit ribosomal RNA", at positions 81 to 896 of the family's 1533-position model. The record is from RNAcentral.
AACCCUGGUGGCGAGUGGCGAACGGGUGAGUAAUAUAUCGGAACGUGCCCUAGAGUGGGGGAUAACGUAGCGAAAGUUACGCUAAUACCGCAUACGUCUGUAAAGGGAAAGCGGGGGACUCGUAGGAACCUCGCGCUAUUGGAUGAGCCAAAGUCGGAUUAGCUAGUUGGUGGGGUAAUGGCCUACCAAGGCGACAAUCCGUAGCUGGUCUGAGAGGACGACCAGCCACACCGGAACUGAGACACGGUCCGGACUCCUACGGGAGGCAGCAGUGGGGAAUAUUGGACAAUGGGGGAAACCCUGAUCCAGCGACGCCGCGUGUGUGAAGAAGGCCUGCGGGUUGUAAAGCACUUUUAGUGGGGACAAAAAGCUACGGAUUAAUACUCUGUGGUCUUGAUUUAACCCAAAGAAAAAGCACCGGCUAACUCUGUGCCAGCAGCCGCGGUAAUACAGAGGGUGCGAGCGUUAAUCGGAAUUACUGGGGCGUAAAGCGCGCGUAGACGGUUUUGUAAGUCAGAUGUGAAAUCCCUGGGCUCAACCUGGGAACUGCAUUUGAUACUGCAUGGCUAGAGUAUCGAAGAGGGAAGUGGAAUUUCCGGUAUAGCGGUGAAAUGCGUAGAUAUCGGAAGGAACACCAGUGGCGAAAGCGACUUCCUGGUCGAAUACUGACGUUCAUGUGCGAAAGCGUGGGGAGCAAACAGGAUUAGAUACCCUGGUAGUCCACGCCAUAAACGAUGACAACUAGAUGUUGGNAGGGUCUGCCUCUCGGUGUCGCAGCUAACGCGUUAAGUUGUCCGCCUGGGGAGUACGGCCGCAAGGUUG